CGACCGGGGAGACCUCAGUGUCUCCUCUCCUUCGGGAGAACGGAAGGACGCCUGCAGCCUACGCUGAGCGUGAUGUGAGUGAGAUCUAAAAAAGAAGCGCCCUCAGAGCUCAGAAGGAUGCUGCUGGGAUGAUGGGAAGAAAUGAGCCAAAUCAAUAAGAGUAUUGCAGCAAACAUGAACAAAUGUUCUGCCCUCAGAAUGUGCAGAACCACCUGUAACCUCACAUGGCAGAGAACCAAACGACAGCGUUAGUGGAGUGGUCACGAUUUCGGGUGUUCUCACUCUUCUUGGCUCCUUACAGCAGGAUCGAUCUUUGAACUAAGUCUGUAGUGUUCCUGCCCAAGUAGGAUGAUUGGGGGAGGCUCUGGGAAAUAAGGGAACUUCCUGUCACUGGGGGCAGGUGGGUGCUCCAGCAAUAAACUGAAUAAAUAAAAA
This is a long non-coding RNA of Bubalus bubalis (water buffalo), 435 nucleotides long. RefSeq lists it as uncharacterized. The record is from RefSeq and is a predicted model, not a curated record. Lineage: Eukaryota; Metazoa; Chordata; Mammalia; Artiodactyla; Bovidae. The transcript has 2 exons.